RNAcentral lists this ribosomal RNA (591 nucleotides) under Yamadazyma dushanensis. Its description in RNAcentral is "eukaryotic LSU rRNA". The stretch from base 208 to 361 matches the Rfam family "5.8S ribosomal RNA". Lineage: Eukaryota; Fungi; Ascomycota; Pichiomycetes; Serinales; Debaryomycetaceae. The record is from RNAcentral.
AAGGAUCAUUACAGUUAUUACUUUCUACCAGCGCUUAACUGCGCGGUAGGAAAUAACCCAUACACACAGUGUUUUUUGUUAUUACAAGAACUAUUGCUUUGGCUUGGCGCAAGUUGGGCCAAAGAUUUACUAAACUUCAAUUUUUAAUUGAAUUGUUAUUUUAAUACAGUUGUCAAUUUGUUUGAUUAAAUUCAAAAUAAUCUUCAAAACUUUCAACAACGGAUCUCUUGGUUCUCGCAUCGAUGAAGAACGCAGCGAAAUGCGAUAAGUAAUAUGAAUUGCAGAUUUUCGUGAAUCAUCGAAUCUUUGAACGCACAUUGCGCUCUCUGGUAUUCCAGAGAGCAUGCCUGUUUGAGCGUCAUUUCUCUCUCAAACCCUUGGGUUUGGUAUUGAGUGAUACUCUUAGUCGGACUAGGCGUUUGCUUGAAAAGUAUUGGCAAGAGUGUACUGGAUAGUACUACUGGUUAUUCAAUGUAUUAGGUUCAUCCAACUCGUUGAACGACUGGGCGUAAGUUUCUGGUAGCAGGCUCGGCCUUACAACCAACAAACAAGUUUGACCUCAAAUCAGGUAAGAAUACCCGCUGAACUUAA